CCUACGGGUGGCAGCAGUGAGGAAUUUUGGUCAAUGGACGAGAGUCUGAACCAGCCAAGUAGCGUGAACGAUGACUGCCCUAUGGUUUGUAAACUUCUUUUAUAUGGGAAUAAAACGUUCCACGUGUGGGAUCUUGUAUGUACCAUAUGAUUAAGGAUCGGCUAACUCCGUUCCAGCAGCCGCGGUAAUAUGGAGGAUCCGAGCGUUAUCCGGAUUUAUUUGGUUUAAAGGGAGCGUAGGUGGAUUGGUAAGUCAGUUGUGAAAGUUUGCGGCUCAAACGUAAAAUUGCAGUUGAAACUGGCAGUCUAGAGUGCAGUAGAGGGGGGCGGAAUUCGUGGUGUAGCGGUAAAAUGCUUAGAUAUCUCGAAGAACUCCGAUGGCGAAGGCAGUUCACUGGACUGCAACUGACACUGAGGCUCGAAAGUGUGGGGAUCAAACAGGAUUAGAUACCCCAGUAGUC
RNAcentral lists this ribosomal RNA (460 nucleotides) under uncultured bacterium. RNAcentral describes it as "partial 16S ribosomal RNA". It matches the Rfam family "Bacterial small subunit ribosomal RNA", at positions 338 to 795 of the family's 1533-position model. The record is from RNAcentral.